This 360-nucleotide ribosomal RNA is filed under the name uncultured bacterium. RNAcentral describes it as "bacterial SSU rRNA". It matches the Rfam family "Bacterial small subunit ribosomal RNA", at positions 29 to 418 of the family's 1533-position model. The record is from RNAcentral.
AACGAACGCUGGCGGCAGGCCUAACACAUGCAAGUCGAACGCUCCGCAAGGGGAGUGGCGCACGGGUGAGUAACACGUGGGAACCUACCUUCUGGUACGGAACAACCAAGGGAAACUCUGGCUGAUACCGUAUACGACCUCCGGGUGAAAGAUUGAUCGCCGGAAGAGGGGCCCGCGUCCGAUUAGGUAGUUGGUGAGGUAACGGCUCACCAAGCCUGCGAUCGGUAGCUGGUCUGAGAGGANGACCAGCCACACUGGGACUGAGACACGGCCCAGACUCCUACGGGAGGCAGCAGUGGGGAAUCUUGCGCAAUGGGCGAAAGCCUGACGCAGCGACGCCGCGUGAGGGAUGACGGCCUC